Molecule: long non-coding RNA, 1073 nt
Organism: Toxorhynchites rutilus septentrionalis
Lineage: Eukaryota; Metazoa; Arthropoda; Insecta; Diptera; Culicidae
Exons: 3
Source: RefSeq, a predicted model, not a curated record
GGAGCUUCAUUCGUAAAUUACACAUUUGUCAUCAUUGGUGGAAUACGACCAUAAAUGUUGUUGUUAUAGUACAGCAAGCUAUGAUUACAAUACAAUAUGGGUUUAUUUUGAUAAUGCAAAUAUUAACGACAUUAUACAUAAACCGACAGAAAUGCAUUAUAAUAUUUGUCCACAGCACUUUCAGCGUCUAUAUGUAUAUUUUAUUCAAUUUUUAGUUCGGAAUUUCUAUCCCAUUCGCCGUGUUUAUCAUGAUGAUGCUAACAUUAAUAACAUUUUAUACGAACCUCCCACCUUAUAUAUAUAAUGUCUCCCACCGUUUUAGAUACAUCUUAACAUUAUGUUCAAUUUUUAGAGCGUAAACCAUCUGUCAAUUUUUUCACUGUUUACAUUUUCGUGCCACAAAUCGUUGCCACUUUUUUCACUCAAGUUCCACUUCUCUUCUCUGCUACUACAAUGGCUAGCUUCCACUUUCACCUUAAUUUGCGACGACAAAUGUACAGUGUCGACGUCUGGUGGCGAUAUUAGUGCUUGGGAGAUUUUCCAAAACAAUACUCGGAACUUGACAGUUCAGUAUAGUUGCAUUGGUGAACCCGAGUGCCAACCCGUGAAACAUCUCAGUGCGGAACUAACAGCUUUCGGGUUGAACCAAGGAAAGUGAAGUGGAAGAUGGUAUCCAAACAACACUAAACAUUGACUACAGUUUCGCCGGCACGGUUAAUUGCCGUUAUGGACCAGCACAAAAAACAAAACUGCAAAUUAUGCGCCAGUGGCGGUACUACGAUCAAAGCAUUCCUUGAAUAAAUCUUAUCACAUUAGCCGAGCUGGUUGGCGGAAGCAUAUGCAUAAAGGUUACUAGGUUACUAUUUUCAACGACAACUGUUUAUUUAUUAUACUGCUUCAAAUACCUUCGACGAAAUCAAAUGUAACCAUACCAACGUAAGUAAUAAUAUAAACAAAUCCAAACUUUUCUUCUUGCCAUUCCUCAUACGUCUUUUCUAAAUAGUGUAAAUUACGAGCCACCUGUUAACUCUACCAUCUUGGUCAUAAUGACCCAAGCAGGUAUGCCCAUUUCG